GACAGAGGGGGCAAGCGUUGCUCGGAAUUACUGGGCGUAAAGGGCGCGUAGGCGGGAUGGCAAGUCGGUCGUGAAAUCCCUCGGCUCAACUGAGGAUCGUCGAUCGAUACUGCCGUUCUUGAGGAUUGCAGAGGAGACUGGAAUUCCCGGUGUAGCGGUGAAAUGUGUAGAGAUCGGGAGGAACACCGGUGGCGAAGGCGGGUCUCUGGGCAAUUCCUGACGCUGAGGCGCGAAAGCGCGGGGAGCAAACGGG
Molecule: ribosomal RNA, 253 nt
Filed under: uncultured bacterium
Lineage: Bacteria
Description: partial 16S ribosomal RNA
Rfam family: Bacterial small subunit ribosomal RNA
Source: RNAcentral